This 649-nucleotide long non-coding RNA is filed under the name Calidris pygmaea (Spoon-billed sandpiper). RNAcentral describes it as "lncRNA (ENSCPGG00000019396.1)". Lineage: Eukaryota; Metazoa; Chordata; Aves; Charadriiformes; Scolopacidae. The record is from RNAcentral.
CAAUAAUAAAAGAAGCGGUUUGUGUCCCUGAACCCUCCCAGGAACAUUGCAGCCUGAAUUAGGUGUUAUGCAUUGCAGCUCGGCCUUUCGGAGGUGCCUAUGGAAACAGAGCACACCGACUUGUCAGCCGCGGCUCAAUUCUUCAAUUAAAAUCCGCAACAAUAGUUUCUAGCCUCUGGCAAGGAAAACAGAUGAGCAAAUAUUCUCUGUCUUGGAAGUUAAAUGCAUCGCCCCAGCGACAGGCCUCUCUAGCUUUCCAGCUACCAUGAAUCCUGAGCCUACUCUUAAAUUGCCAUUUAGUUUUCUGAUGAAAGAAAGCAUCCUUGUAUCCAUUGGUGUGGUUCAGGGGCUGUGGGAAACCUCGGCUGGUCCGAGGGAUCGGAAUGUGAGCUUAACAUUGGCCUUGAGCAGACACCUGAGUAUCCUUGAAGAGGCCUGAGAGUCCUGAGAAGAAGGGAGUAAAUAAGAUUAAGGACCUGUCAGACUGCCAGCAGAGGAAAGUUACUGAAGUUACAGCAGAGAACAAAGAAGGAGGAAGUCAUCCAAUCAUGAACUGUUGGACUUUGAGGGAACCAAUUAGACAUGGACACACGUUUGUAAGAAAGAUAUAAAAGAGUCUGUUAAAACAAUAAAGUUGGGCUUCAGCACA